Molecule: non-coding RNA, 148 nt
Filed under: Nomascus leucogenys (northern white-cheeked gibbon)
Lineage: Eukaryota; Metazoa; Chordata; Mammalia; Primates; Hylobatidae
Source: Rfam by way of RNAcentral
GCUGGGUGUGGUGACGUGCACCUGUAGUCCUAGCUACUCAGGAGGCUGAGGCAGGAGAAUCACUCGAACCUGGGAGGCGGAGGUUGCAGUGAGCCCAGAUAGCACCACUGCACUCCAACCUAAGUGAUAGAGUGAGACUCUGUCUCAA